This 72-nucleotide transfer RNA is filed under the name Heliconius melpomene (postman butterfly). RNAcentral's name for it is "tRNA HMEL008909". It matches the Rfam family "tRNA". Rfam says of the family: Transfer RNA (tRNA) molecules are approximately 80 nucleotides in length. Their secondary structure includes four short double-helical elements and three loops (D, anti-codon, and T loops). Lineage: Eukaryota; Metazoa; Arthropoda; Insecta; Lepidoptera; Nymphalidae. The record is from RNAcentral.
GAACGUAUGACUUAGUGGUCAGAGCGAUUGGAUGAUUUCCAAGAGGCGCAGGUACAAAUCCCGCUAAGUUGA